UACGAAGGGGGCGAGCGUUGUUCGGAUUUACUGGGCGUAAAGGGCGCGCAGGCGGUUCUGUUUGUCGAGUGUGAAAGCCCCGGGCUCAACCUGGGAACUGCGCUCGAAACGGCGGAACUAGAGUUCGGGAGAGGAGAGUGGAAUUCCCGGUGUAGUGGUGGAAUGCGUAGAUAUCGGGAGGAACAUCAGUGGCGAAAGCGGCACCCUGGCAUUAGCCUGAAGCUCAUGUGCGAAAGCGUGGGGAGCGAACGGG
This 253-nucleotide ribosomal RNA is filed under the name uncultured bacterium. RNAcentral describes it as "partial 16S ribosomal RNA". It matches the Rfam family "Bacterial small subunit ribosomal RNA", at positions 524 to 776 of the family's 1533-position model. The record is from RNAcentral.